This 559-nucleotide ribosomal RNA is filed under the name uncultured bacterium. RNAcentral's name for it is "bacterial SSU rRNA". It matches the Rfam family "Bacterial small subunit ribosomal RNA", at positions 830 to 1379 of the family's 1533-position model. The record is from RNAcentral.
CCUUUUCCGGGUNUUCCGCGCCGUAGCUAACGCAUUAAGUGCCCCGCCUGGGGAGUACGGCCGCAAGGCUAAAACUCAAAGGAAUUGACGGGGGCCCGCACAAGCGGCGGAGCAUGCGGAUUAAUUCGAUGCAACGCGAAGAACCUUACCAAGGCUUGACAUGUGCCGGUCUGCUCCGGAGACGGGGUUUCCUCCCUUGUGGGGGCUGGUUCACAGGUGGUGCAUGGUUGUCGUCAGCUCGUGUCGUGAGAUGUUGGGUUAAGUCCCGCAACGAGCGCAACCCUUGUCUCGUGUUGCCAGCACGUUGUGGUGGGGACUCGCGGGAGACUGCCGGGGUCAACUCGGAGGAAGGUGGGGAUGACGUCAAAUCAUCAUGCCCCUUAUGUCUUGGGCUUCACGCAUGCUACAAUGGCCGGUACAGAGGGCUGCGAUACCGUGAGGUGGAGCGAAUCCCUUAAAGCCGGUCUCAGUUCGGAUCGGUGUCUGCAACUCGACACCGUGAAGUUGGAGUCGCUAGUAAUCGCAGAUCAGCAACGCUGCGGUGAAUACGUUCUCGGNC